CUUAGAGUGGAUCAAAACGCUUGAAGAAGUAGUAGCAUUCAUGAAAUUACUCCCACUUACAUCUCUCUCCUUUAGCUCUCGUAACCCAUUAACAGAGUUUGAGCUUAGGGACAGGAAAACAUAAGCAAGACCGAACAAGAAAAGCACUAACCUUGAUGAUGAUCUCUCUCUUACUAUACUCUCCAUCUGAAUAUAUCAGUAUAGCUCAAAACGAACUAUAUAUAUAUUCACUUCUCAAUGUUAUGGUUCGACACCCUCUCCCUCCCCUCCUCUUUAUACCAUUUAUCUAUGUACUCAAGCUGACUGUUAAUCCUACGUAAUUAGUUUAAUUAAUCUCAUGCACAUGCAUUUUAUCCAUACAGUACUUACCAACUUUUUAUUUCCCUUUAUAACUUAAAAGUAGAGGCUAUAAAUAUAAAUAUAUAAGUAUAGGCUCUUGAAUUAUUAAAC
This 450-nucleotide long non-coding RNA is filed under the name Capsella grandiflora. RNAcentral describes it as "long non-coding RNA (CGRA_LNC001288)". Lineage: Eukaryota; Viridiplantae; Streptophyta; Magnoliopsida; Brassicales; Brassicaceae. The record is from RNAcentral.